This is a long non-coding RNA of Rhipicephalus sanguineus (brown dog tick), 235 nucleotides long. RefSeq lists it as uncharacterized. The record is from RefSeq and is a predicted model, not a curated record. The transcript has 3 exons. Lineage: Eukaryota; Metazoa; Arthropoda; Arachnida; Ixodida; Ixodidae.
GGCAACAAGGCUGCUUACUUUUGCCGCAAGACCUUUUACGCCCUCUGCGUCAUGAUUGUAUGUGACCAACCCUGCCGAUGACUGCCCUCGUACUCGGGGCCCGUGCACGACGCCUUUAUGUGGAAGACAUCCACCGUGAGCCCGGACUGGGCAGUGGACACCGUGGCCAGGUGAUAGUGCAUACUCGCUUCAACCUUGGCUGCUUAACCCCAUCCCUGGAGCACAUCCUGCAGAA